GACGGUAACAGCCCGGUAGUUGAAAUGGCUUUCCCUCCAGAGUGGAUCCUGAGUACGGCGGAACACGUGAAAUUCCGUCGGAAUCCGGGAGGACCAUCUCCCAAGGCUAAAUACUCCCUAGUGACCGAUAGUGAACCAGUACCGUGAGGGAAAGGUGAAAAGCACCCCGGAAGGGGAGUGAAACAGUUCCUGAAACCGUGUGCCUACAAGUAGUUAGAGCCCGUUAAUGGGUGAUAGCGUGCCUUUUGUAGAAUGAACCGGCGAGUUACGAUUUGUUGCAAGGUUAAGCGGAAAAAGCGGAGCCGUAGCGAAAGCGAGUCUGAAUAGGGCGCAUAAGUAACAGGUCGUAGACCCGAAACCAGGUGAUCUACCCAUGUCCAGGAUGAAGGUAAGGUAAUACUUACUGGAGGUCCGAACCCACGCACGUUGAAAAGUGCGGGGAUGAGGUGUGGGUAGCGGAGAAAUUCCAAUCGAACUUGGAGAUAGCUGGUUCUCUCCGAAAUAGCUUUAGGGCUAGCCUCGAGGUAAAGAGUCAUGGAGGUAGAGCACUGUUUGGACUAGGGGCCCUUCUCGGGUUACCGAAUUCAGAUAAACUCCGAAUGCCAUGUACUUAUACUCGGGAGUCAGACUGCGAGUGAUAAGAUCCGUAGUCG
Molecule: ribosomal RNA, 653 nt
Filed under: Listeria monocytogenes
Lineage: Bacteria; Bacillati; Bacillota; Bacilli; Caryophanales; Listeriaceae
Description: partial 23S ribosomal RNA
Rfam family: Bacterial large subunit ribosomal RNA
Source: RNAcentral